Molecule: non-coding RNA, 29 nt
Filed under: Mus musculus (house mouse)
Lineage: Eukaryota; Metazoa; Chordata; Mammalia; Rodentia; Muridae
Source: RNAcentral
UUNCAAAAUGUUUUGAGCAAUAAGGGUGC